RNAcentral lists this ribosomal RNA (448 nucleotides) under uncultured bacterium. Its description in RNAcentral is "bacterial SSU rRNA". It matches the Rfam family "Bacterial small subunit ribosomal RNA", at positions 329 to 793 of the family's 1533-position model. The record is from RNAcentral.
CCCCAGACUCCUACGGGAGGCAGCAGUGGGGAAUAUUGCACAAUGGGGGAAACCCUGAUGCAGCGACGCCGCGUGAGUGAAGAAGUAUUUCGGUAUGUAAAGCUCUAUCAGCAGGGAAGAAGAAGGACGGUACCUGAGUAAGAAGCCCCGGCUAACUACGUGCCAGCAGCCGCGGUAAUACGUAGGGGGCAAGCGUUAUCCGGAUUCACUGGGUGUAAAGGGAGCGUAGACGGCGACGCAAGUCUGGAGUGAAAGCCCGGGGCCCAACCCCGGGACUGCUCUGGAAACUGCGUCGCUGGAGUACGGGAGGGGCAGGCGGAAUUCCUGGUGUAGCGGUGAAAUGCGUAGAUAUCAGGAGGAACACCGGCGGCGAAGGCGGCCUGCUGGACCGUGACUGACGUUGAGGCUCGAGAGCGUGGGGAGCAAACAGGAUUAGAUACCCUGGUAA